This 292-nucleotide ribosomal RNA is filed under the name uncultured bacterium. RNAcentral describes it as "partial 16S ribosomal RNA". It matches the Rfam family "Bacterial small subunit ribosomal RNA", at positions 505 to 796 of the family's 1533-position model. The record is from RNAcentral.
GUGUCAGCAGCCGCGGUAAUACGGAGGGUGCAAGCGUUAUCCGGAUUCACUGGGUUUAAAGGGUGCGUAGGUGGGUUGGUAAGUCAGUGGUGAAAUCUCCAGGCUUAACUUGGAAACUGCCAUUGAUACUAUCAAUCUUGAAUACCGUGGAGGUCAGCGGAAUAUGUCAUGUAGCGGUGAAAUGCUUAGAUAUGACAUAGAACACCAAUUGCGAAGGCAGCUGGCUACACGAAUAUUGACACUGAUGCACGAAAGCGUGGGGAUCAAACAGGAUUAGAAACCCCCGUAGUCC